UUUCCGUAGGUGAACCUGCGGAAGGAUCAUUAUUGUAAAACCGAGGUGCGAGGGCUGUCGCUGACCCGAAAGGUCGUGCACGCCCGAGUGCCCUCACACACAUCCACCUCACCCCUAUGUGCACCACCGCGUGGGUCCCCCCUUGGCUUGUUCGGAGGGGGGCUUACGUUUUCACACAAACUUUGUAUGCAGUGUAGAAUGUAUUUUUUGUUUUUGCGAUCACGCAAUCAAUACAACUUUCAACAACGGAUCUCUUGGCUCUC
Molecule: unclassified non-coding RNA, 263 nt
Filed under: plant metagenome
Description: partial contains small subunit ribosomal RNA, internal transcribed spacer 1, and 5.8S ribosomal RNA
Source: RNAcentral